RNAcentral lists this ribosomal RNA (482 nucleotides) under uncultured bacterium. RNAcentral describes it as "partial 16S ribosomal RNA". It matches the Rfam family "Bacterial small subunit ribosomal RNA", at positions 30 to 507 of the family's 1533-position model. The record is from RNAcentral.
AUUGAACGCUGGCGGCAUGCCUUACACAUGCAAGUCGAACGGUAACAGGUCUUCGGAUGCUGACGAGUGGCGAACGGGUGAGUAAUACAUCGGAACGUGCCCGAUCGUGGGGGAUAACGAAGCGAAAGCUUUGCUAAUACCGCAUAAGAUCUACGGAUGAAAGCAGGGGACCGCAAGGCCUUGCGCGAACGGAGCGGCCGAUGGCAGAUUAGGUAGUUGGUGGGAUAAAAGCUUACCAAGCCGACGAUCUGUAGCUGGUCUGAGAGGACGACCAGCCACACUGGGACUGAGACACGGCCCAGACUCCUACGGGAGGCAGCAGUGGGGAAUUUUGGACAAUGGGCGAAAGCCUGAUCCAGCCAUGCCGCGUGCAGGAUGAAGGCCUUCGGGUUGUAAACUGCUUUUGUACGGAACGAAAAGACUCUGGUUAAUACCUGGGGUGCAUGACGGUACCGUAAGAAUAAGCACCGGCUAACUACGUG